ACGAACCCUCGCCUAAGAUCCGACUCGCGGUUCCAGCUCCGAAAGUUUCCUCCCCCGUCUCGCUCUCUUCCCGCCUGUCUCUCGCUCUCCAACUCACCCCCUUUCUCUACUCCCUGUCUUUCAUUUCCCACCUUUCCUCGUCCCCCUUCGUCCACCCAUCGCUGUGCCCUGCACCACCUCACUCACCAUGCUGUCCAAGUCCUGUGCUCUGUCCUCUUCUCCUCCUGUGAAGCAAGUCCUCCUUGUCUUGGGUCAGGCGGGCAGCAGAGAGAAGAUGGGACAGGAAUUCAGAGCAAGAGAGAGGAGAGCCACCUGCCGUCACCUGGGAGCCUCUCAAUUGUCCAUCAGUGCGGGGGGGCAUCACACGCAAAGGUUACAGUCAUCAGCUUGGAGGCCACUGCUUUGUACCCACAAACUGCAGCAACCAGAGCAGAGGGGACCAAGCGAGUGCAAGUUAUGGUGACACGCAGCCUGCUAGACUUUUAUGAAUGGUUUGAAGAAACCCUGAAGAACACUAGAAGGUCUAUGUGUCCAGAGAGGGUGGUCAGCUCUACAGCACUCUACCGUGUUCGGCUUCGUUGCGUCAAAUAGCUCACUUAUCUUCUUCGCUAUGCACAUGCUCAAACAUACUCACCAACCAAGUAACCAGCACACACACACACAUGCUGAGCAUGGUGAAGCACAUUUGGGAAGGUACAACGGUAUCAGUCCAUCAAGCUGGAAAUGGCCAAGAGAGUCACUGAGACAGCCCUCUGGUAGUGGAGCGAAACCAAGUCCGAGGCUCUGCAGGACACAUCACAUGCUCUCCAUCCCUCUUAUACAGCCUUGUUUCUUUAUAAGUUCCUCCCUUCUUGAUCCUUAUCCCUUUCAAGCCACACCCUCCGUACUGAUCUCCUCCCGGUAAGAUUUAGGGCUGAAACAUCGAGUGCUUAACGCAAGACAGCGAAACUCACAGCCCAGGUGUCACUGCGGCCUUCAAGAUGCAAGCCAGGCUUCACCCAACUCCCCCUCCCAGUAGAUCUUUCUUUUAAAUGUCUUCUUUGUUUUUCAAACCGACAUGGCUAGGAUGUACUUUUGUAGCUCAUUUCUAAAGAGGAAGAAGUAAGAAGCUCUCUUUGCUUCCAUACUGUGUAGAUACACAAGUGCAUUAUGAUAUUCCCGAUCCUGAAUUUCCAUCUUUUCAUAUCUUACAAUACACUUUAUAUGAAACUCAGUGUUCUGCCCUACAGUUUUUGUAUUCAGUUCGAUUCAAUUUAUUUUUAUAGAGAGAGCUCUUCUCACGCAGUGACACAGAGCGCUUUAACACAGGCUUAAGGCAAAAGAAAAACAUCAGAAUAAAAAAAUAAAGAAGACAGUUGACUACA
This 1364-nucleotide long non-coding RNA is filed under the name Scleropages formosus (Asian bonytongue). RNAcentral's name for it is "lncRNA (ENSSFOG00015031484.1)". Lineage: Eukaryota; Metazoa; Chordata; Actinopteri; Osteoglossiformes; Osteoglossidae. The record is from RNAcentral.